GAUGAACGCUGGCGGCGUGCUUAACACAUGCAAGUCGAACGAGACCUUCGGGUCUAGUGGCGCACGGGUGCGUAACGCGUGGGAAUCUGCCCUUGGGUUCGGAAUAACUCGCCGAAAGGCGUGCUAAUACCGGAUGAUGUCGUAAGACCAAAGAUUUAUCGCCCAGGGAUGAGCCCGCGUAAGAUUAGGUAGUUGGUGAGGUAAAGGCUCACCAAGCCGACGAUCUUUAGCUGGUCUGAGAGGAUGAUCAGCCACACUGGGACUGAGACACGGCCCAG
This 278-nucleotide ribosomal RNA is filed under the name uncultured bacterium. RNAcentral's name for it is "partial 16S ribosomal RNA". It matches the Rfam family "Bacterial small subunit ribosomal RNA", at positions 28 to 334 of the family's 1533-position model. The record is from RNAcentral.